This 257-nucleotide ribosomal RNA is filed under the name uncultured bacterium. Its description in RNAcentral is "partial 16S ribosomal RNA". It matches the Rfam family "Bacterial small subunit ribosomal RNA", at positions 524 to 776 of the family's 1533-position model. The record is from RNAcentral.
UACGUAGGGUGCAAGCGUUUGUCCGGAAUUAUUGGGCGUAAAGAGCUCGUAGGCGGCCUGUCGCGUCGGCUGUGAAAACCUGGGGCUCAACCCCGGGCCGCAGCCGAUACGGGCAGGCUAGAAUUCGGUAGGGGAGACUGGAAUUCCUGGUGUAGCGGUGGAAAUGCGCAGAUAUCAGGAGGAACACCGGUGUGGAAGGCGGGUCUCUGGGCCGAUUACUGACGCUGAGAAGCGAAAAGCAUGGGGGAGCGAACAGG